Zalophus californianus (California sea lion) is the source of this 474-nucleotide long non-coding RNA. RefSeq lists it as uncharacterized. The transcript is spliced from 3 exons. The record is from RefSeq and is a predicted model, not a curated record. Lineage: Eukaryota; Metazoa; Chordata; Mammalia; Carnivora; Otariidae.
AAACAAUGCAUGAACAAGUAGAAGAGCCAGAAAGUGAUAAUAGCAGAGCAGCUAUUUUUGUUAGAGUGGAAGCAGAGGAGAAAACGAGUUGAAAUGCAGAAAAACAUAAAGAACAGGCCUCGUCCUCAAAGAGCCUCCAACUCAGUGAUAUCACAAAAUAGAGAACUGUGAUUAAGAAAAAAGAGAGACUCCAGACAAACUUAAGAGAAGAAUCAAUAGGACUUUGUGUCUGAUUGGGUAAGAGGUGGCAAGAAAGGUAUUUAUCAAGCGCUGGUGAAGGAGGCGGAGUUAAGGACCUGUGCUCUGGUCCUCACAUUCCCAGAAUUCUAUGGUCCACCAGUCUUGUCAUCCCAGGAAGGAAAGCAACAUCUCUGCCUAUCUUCUGUACCUCUGGUUUUAGUCCAUUUUAGUGGAGACUUUGUUAACAAGAAGCAAAAGCUAUAUUCUGAAAUGUUUUAUUUCCAUUUCUUUCAG